GCCGGUGUGAUGGAAUUGGCAGACGUGCGGGAUUCAAAAUCCCGUGGUGAAUAACCGUGUCGGUUCGAACCCGACCAUCGGCACCA
This 86-nucleotide transfer RNA is filed under the name Clostridium sp. Its description in RNAcentral is "tRNA-Leu". It matches the Rfam family "tRNA". Rfam says of the family: Transfer RNA (tRNA) molecules are approximately 80 nucleotides in length. Lineage: Bacteria; Bacillati; Bacillota; Clostridia; Eubacteriales; Clostridiaceae. The record is from RNAcentral.